RNAcentral lists this ribosomal RNA (506 nucleotides) under uncultured bacterium. Its description in RNAcentral is "bacterial SSU rRNA". It matches the Rfam family "Bacterial small subunit ribosomal RNA", at positions 791 to 1297 of the family's 1533-position model. The record is from RNAcentral.
UAGUCCACGCUGUAAACGAUGUCUACUUGGAGGUUGUUGUCUUGAAUGAUGGCUUUCGGAGCUAACGCGUUAAGUAGACCGCCUGGGGAGUACGGCCGCAAGGUUAAAACUCAAAUGAAUUGACGGGGGCCCGCACAAGCGGUGGAGCAUGUGGUUUAAUUCGAUGCAACGCGAAGAACCUUACCUACUCUUGACAUCUACAGAAGCCAGCGGAGACGCAGGUGUGCCUUCGGGAACUGUAAGACAGGUGCUGCAUGGCUGUCGUCAGCUCGUGUUGUGAAAUGUUGGGUAAGUCCCGUAACGAGCGAAACCCUUGUUUUAGUUGCCAGCGGGUAAUGCCGGGGACUCUAGAAAGACUGCCUGUUUCAAGCAGGAGGAAGGUGGGGAUGACGUCAAGUCCUCAUGGCCUUUAUGACCGGGGCUACACACGUACUACAAUGGACAGCACAAAGGGUAGCCAAGCAGCAAUGUGGAGCCAAUCCCAAAAAACUGUUACUCAGUUCGGA